RNAcentral lists this ribosomal RNA (407 nucleotides) under uncultured bacterium. Its description in RNAcentral is "partial 16S ribosomal RNA". It matches the Rfam family "Bacterial small subunit ribosomal RNA", at positions 30 to 526 of the family's 1533-position model. The record is from RNAcentral.
AUUGAACGCUGGCGGCAGGCCUAACACAUGCAAGUCGAGCGGAGCGGCGGACGGGAGAGUAAUGUAUGGGGAUCUGCCCGAUAGGGGGGGAUAACUACUGGAAACGGGGGCUAACACCGCAUACUAUCGGAUGACCCUAUAUGGGAUUAGCUAGUAGGUGGGGAAAAGGCUCACCUAGGCGACGCUCUAUAGCUGGUCUGAGAGGAUGAUCAGUAACACUGGAACUGAGACACGGUCCAGACUCCUACGGGAGGCAGCAGUUGGGAAUAUUGCACAAUGGGCGAAAGCCUGAUCCAGCCAUGCCGCGUGUUUGAAGAAGGUCUUCGGGUUGUAAAGCACUUUAAGUUGGGAGGCGUUACCAACAGAAUAAGCACCGGCUAACUUCGUGCCAGCAGCCGCGGUAAUUC